GAUAAAUAAGUAUAAUUCUCUUGAAUGUAUAUAUAAUAAGUCCAAGUAAUAAUAAGUACGUUUCUCUUGAAUGCAUAUAUAAUAAGUCCAAGACAUAAUUAGUUCUCUUGAAUGCAUAUAUAAUAAGUCCAAGACAUAAUUAGUAAAAUAACAAUCACAAAAAGAGGAAGCAGCAGGGGAAUUCGUAAGCUGAGGGAGUAUAACCUUUUGUUAAAGGAUAUCAGAACAAUAAUGUAAAAUGGGAAAGAAAGCAAGGAAAUAGAGAGAAGAAGAGAACACAAGGACAAGGGCAACAAGAGAGUAGGGGUGUUCAGUCUGUUGGUUUGGUUACAAAACAAACCAAACCAAAAUAACUGAAAACCAAAUUAGAUGAUUUUUAGAAACCGAACCGAACUAGCAAGGAAACCGAACUCAUAUCCUCUAAAAUGCAAAGCCAAUAAUGAGUAAACAUGAAAUCAC
RNAcentral lists this unclassified non-coding RNA (459 nucleotides) under Hevea brasiliensis (rubber tree). The record is from RNAcentral. Lineage: Eukaryota; Viridiplantae; Streptophyta; Magnoliopsida; Malpighiales; Euphorbiaceae.